This 478-nucleotide ribosomal RNA is filed under the name uncultured bacterium. RNAcentral describes it as "bacterial SSU rRNA". It matches the Rfam family "Bacterial small subunit ribosomal RNA", at positions 355 to 827 of the family's 1533-position model. The record is from RNAcentral.
UAGGGAAUUUUCCACAAUGAACGAAAGUUUGAUGGAGCGACACAGCGUGCAGGAUGAAGGUCUUCGGAUCGUAAACUGCUGUUAUAAGGGAAGAAAAACUUUAGUAGGUAAUGACUAGAACUUGACGGUACCUUAUCAGAAAGCGACGGCUAACUAUGUGCCAGCAGCCGCGGUAAUACAUAGGUCGCAAGCGUUAUCCGGAAUUAUUGGGCGUAAAGAGUUCGUAGGUGGUCUUGUCAGUCUGAAGUUAAAGCCCGGGGCUCAACCCCGGCCCGCUUUGGAUACUGCAAGACUAGAGUAUUAGAGAGGUUAGUGGAACUCCAUGUGAAGCGGUGGAAUGCGUAGAUAUAUGGAAGAACACCAAUGGCGAAGGCAACUAACUGGCUAAUAACUGACACUGAGGAACGAAAGCGUGGGUAGCAAACAGGUUAGAUACCCUGGUAGUCCACGCUGUAAACGAUGAUCACUAGACGGUAGA